AAUUAUGGAUUUUGAUAUGACCCAUGGAUAGGUAAAGGUAAAGGUUGUCCCCUGACAUUAAGUCUAGUUGUAUCUGACUCUGGAGGUUGGUGCUCAUUUCCAUUUCAAAGCCAGCAUUGUCCAUAGACAUCUCCUAGGUCAUGUGGCCAGCAUGACUGCAUAGAGCACCGUUACCUUCCCAACAGAGUGAUACCUAUUGAUCUACAGUGUUCCCUCACUUAUCACACGGUUUAUGUUCCAGGACCACCCACAAUAAGUCCGAACUUACUUGUCCAAAUGUGUCUCCCGCUAUGACUCACCACGUAAUUUAAGAUCCUUAGGGGAAGCCCUGCUUUCGGUCCCACCAACCUCACAGGUGAGGCUGGCAGGGAUGAGAGACAGGGCCUUUUCAGUAGUGGCCCCCCAAGUGUUAAAGAAUUAAGACUUGGUUGUUGGACCAGGCUUUUGAAUAAUAGUGUAGAGAUACAGUUGUCCUAUUACUAGCUAAUAUACAGGAUAGAACAAUGGUAACAAAUUAUAAUCAUUACAGGCGCAUGAGUAAUGCACAAAUGAAAACUGUUUACAACAUUACAUCAAAUAUUAUAUUCAUGCUUGUAUGUUUUUUCAGUAGGGACACUAUAUUUAUUUUAAUAUUUAUACUUUAUUUUAGCAGUUACAAUAUACAGUAUACCGGCAGAGAAGAAGAAAGGAAGCUGAAUAACCCUUUUUUUAAUUUCCAACCCCCAGUGGCGUAGUGGGUUAAAACCUUGUGACUUGAAGGUUGGGCUGCUGACCUGAAAGCUGCCAGGUUCGAAUCCAACCUGGGGAGAGCGCGGAUGAGCUCCCUCUAUCAGCACCAGCUCCAUGUGGGGACAUGAGAGAAGCCUCCCACAAGGAUGGUAAAAACAUCAAACAUCCGGGCGUCCCCUGGGCAACGUCCUUGUAGAAGGCCAAUUCUCACACCAGAAGAGACUUGCAGUUUCUCAAGUCCAACCCUUCCCUACCCUUCCCCUCUCUUAUCUCUCCCUUUCCCCUGCUUCCAGGAGAGGAGAAAAGAGGAGGAGAGCCAGGAGAGGCACCUGGGAGGCUUGAGCCCAUAUCGGCCCUUCGCAGAGUCCUGCAGGCCUGGUGAGGGCUACCCAGGCGUCAAGGUUUUAGGAUCUCAACAGUUCCUUUGCGACGGGGUCGCCUUCUGCGCCAUCCUCCACCGCCACCGGCCCGACUUGCUCAUAUUGAAAAUGAAACACAUGGAAUAAUUUGAAAUCCUCGGCUGGAGGUUUUCUCAAGCAUCAAAGCCGCAUUACGCAUCCAACGAAAGCUGCAGGGACCCCCAUUUCUGCAACGAUUGGCUUGGAGGCAGAAGUAAGUUCUCUCUUUACCCACAAGUUGUUUCCCAUUUCCUUUGCCGUGACAAGGUCAAUCGUAUGGCAUUUGGGCUCCUCGGUACCAUAAAACAGAUGGAUGUGCCCAGAAGGAGCAAGAGAUAACACCGGGAUAAUAUCGGGAUAUGGCCGCCUGCGUGUUUAAGAGAGAGAGGAAAGCAUCUUUGCAGCUCUCCACUGUUUAAAGGACAAAACAUUCUACUUAUAAAGCCAGGGAUUUGCAAAACAGAAGCAGAAAAUGGGCGCUGAAUUGUCAUGUAACACUGUCAACAAUGUGCAAAAAUGCAGUCAG
This 1653-nucleotide long non-coding RNA is filed under the name Anolis carolinensis (green anole). RNAcentral describes it as "lncRNA (ENSACAG00000032656.2)". The record is from RNAcentral. Lineage: Eukaryota; Metazoa; Chordata; Lepidosauria; Squamata; Anolidae.